This 436-nucleotide long non-coding RNA is filed under the name Trifolium pratense (red clover). RNAcentral describes it as "long non-coding RNA (TPRA_LNC005926)". Lineage: Eukaryota; Viridiplantae; Streptophyta; Magnoliopsida; Fabales; Fabaceae. The record is from RNAcentral.
AAAGAUGAAGAAAACUAUCUCUGUUUCUAAAAUUCUAUUGCAAAAUUUCAUCCCAUUCCUUCAUUUUCAAUUGUUUAGUUUCCCAUUAAUGUUUGUUGGUUGAACCACCACUAGGUACACCAACAUCCAUUGAUUUCAUGGCAUCAUCAUUUCUUCUUUCUCAAAAAUCAACAUCGAAGUUUCUACGGUGGGAGAGAAAUAUGUGUGGUUGUUGAUUUCACAGAAGAAAGGCAAAAUGAAGUGGGAAGAGUACAGAUCUGAUCUGGAAAGACUGAUAGUUGUUAAGGGUAAUAAAGGAAUAAAAAAAAUUAUGAAAGUGUAAACUAUCAAUAAAUGAAGAUUUGAUUUUGCAUUCAACGUGGAAACUAGGAUUUCUGGCUUUGGGUAGAAUCAAUUUUAGAUGCCAGAAUCAAUUGUGGAAUAGAAAACCAAACAU